UUUGAACAAGUUAAAAGUCUGUGCAUGUGUUUUGUCUGUGCAUUCAUUUCCCUGGUGGGUUUUCUAUGAAACUGCACUGCAUUCUGUUCCUCAAACGCUCCGGACACAGACAUUCUGGAUAACAACAGACAUCUGCUGGACCUAAUGCUCAUCCAAAACAGAGCGGGAAACACCAGACAGGACCUGACUUAUGCACAUUUGGUAAAUCUCUGUGUACUGAUCGUCAGGGAUGCAUUUGGUGGGCGUCUGGGUGACAUAUGAAGAUUGUAAUGCAGUUGGUCUGUGUGAAUGCGGGUGAUGGAGAAGUGGAGUGUGCAGAACACAUUAAGAGCAGAACAGGCUUAUGUAACCAAUGCAGCAAAGCACCAAAGCUCAAGGCAUCAGAACACAAGCACCAACAGCUGAUGUUUU
This 411-nucleotide long non-coding RNA is filed under the name Sinocyclocheilus grahami. RNAcentral's name for it is "lncRNA (ENSSGRG00000029252.1)". Lineage: Eukaryota; Metazoa; Chordata; Actinopteri; Cypriniformes; Cyprinidae. The record is from RNAcentral.